CCUUCGGUAGCUCAGUUGGUAGAGCGGUGGACUGUAGUAUUCAGAAUAUUGAAAUCCAUAGGUCGCUGGUUCAAAUCCGGCCCGAAGGA
This 89-nucleotide transfer RNA is filed under the name Diaphorina citri (Asian citrus psyllid). It matches the Rfam family "tRNA". Rfam says of the family: Transfer RNA (tRNA) molecules are approximately 80 nucleotides in length. Their secondary structure includes four short double-helical elements and three loops (D, anti-codon, and T loops). The record is from Rfam by way of RNAcentral. Lineage: Eukaryota; Metazoa; Arthropoda; Insecta; Hemiptera; Psyllidae.